CGGCAACAGCUCAAAUUUGAAAUCUGGCGCAAGCCCGAGUUGUAAUUUGUAGAGGAUGCUUCUGGGUAGCGACCGGUCUAAGUUCCUUGGAACAGGACGUCAUAGAGGGUGAGAAUCCCGUAUGUGACCGGCCCGCACCCUUUACGUAGCUCCUUCGACGAGUCGAGUUGUUUGGGAAUGCAGCUCUAAAUGGGAGGUAAAUUUCUUCUAAAGCUAAAUACCGGCCAGAGACCGAUAGCGCACAAGUAGAGUGAUCGAAAGAUGAAAAGUACUUUGGAAAGAGAGUUAAAAAGCACGUGAAAUUGUUGAAAGGGAAGCGCCUGCAAUCAGACUUCGCGGCAGUGUUCCACCGGUCUUCUGACCGGUCUAUUCUCUGCCGCGAGGCCAUCAUCGUCUCGGCCCGCUGGAUAAGACCUUGGGAAUGUAGCUCACCUUCGGGGGAGUGUUAUAGCUCAUGGUGAUGCAGCGAGGCUGGGGCGAGGUCCGCGCUUUGGCAAGGAUGAUGGCGUAAUGGUUGUCGGCGGCCCGUCUUGAAACACGGACCAAGGAGUCUAACAUCUAUGCGAGUGUUCGGGUGUCAAACCCCUACGCGUAAUGAAAGUGAACGGAGGUGGGAACCGCAAGGUGCACCAUCGACCGAUCCUGAUGUCCUCGGAUGGAUUUGAGUAAGAGCAUAGCUGUUGGGACCCGAAAGAUGGUGAACUAUGCCUGAAUAGGGUGAAGCCAGAGGAAACUCUGG
RNAcentral lists this ribosomal RNA (739 nucleotides) under Miuraea degenerans. Its description in RNAcentral is "eukaryotic LSU rRNA". It matches the Rfam family "Eukaryotic large subunit ribosomal RNA", at positions 99 to 867 of the family's 3401-position model. Lineage: Eukaryota; Fungi; Ascomycota; Dothideomycetes; Mycosphaerellales; Mycosphaerellaceae. The record is from RNAcentral.